Molecule: non-coding RNA, 3985 nt
Organism: Cyanistes caeruleus (blue tit)
Lineage: Eukaryota; Metazoa; Chordata; Aves; Passeriformes; Paridae
Source: RefSeq, a predicted model, not a curated record
UCCCUAUCACACACCUUUGCCCCAUCACAGACCUACCCUGUCUCUAAAGCUAACACAAAGAACCUGCUAUAUCUCUCUGCCCUGACCCCGGUAUUUUAACCCACUCUCCCUGUGCUCCCUCAUUUAUCGUUUUCCUCUUGUCUCUCUCCACUUCACCUCCUGUUAGGCAAAAUCUGUGCUGUGUGGAAUAGAGGCCGAGCGUGGGCUGCGAGAAGAGAAAAUAUUCAGACAUCUCUAAGCAUAAGUGUGUCUUCUUGACAAAUAGCCUGGUUAUUCUGGAUGAAGAAAGAGAAACAGCUCUGAUUCUUAGCCACCACCACGGAAGCCUGUGCUGCUGCCACACUUCAGGCGUUGCUCAAUUCUCGUAAGAGAAGCAGGUCGAUGGGAAGGCUUCUGGGGCCAGGAUCCAAAGCGCUCCCCAAGAGUCUCCGGGAGUGUCAGCAGAUUCCUCAGUGAGCCAAGAGAAGGGCCCCUGUGCAUGGCCGGGCUCGCUGACGGCACCUCUGAACUAUGCGUAGGAUCAGCUGCUGUCACUUUCGCAGCCUUCCUGUAAAGCCGGGCUGUCGGGCCCCGUCCGCUCCGCCGAGCCCCGCAGAGGACGCGGCUGUGGCGGCGGCGGAUCCGCCGGAGCCUGGGGCAGCGCUCGGGCCAGCACGGGAUCUCUGAGCGGGGAAAGAGAAGGGCAGGAGCUGUGAAAGAGACUUUUUUACUUCAUUGCUUUCUUCCCCUAGCCGGUAUCCUGCCUGUGGAGAGCUCUUAGCGGACUCGUGGACUUGCGCUGCCGUGCCAGCAGGGGUUUCCAAACUAAGACGUUGUUGGAGGUAUGUGACCUGAUCCAAGUUUUCCAGAGUAGCUUCCUGGAAAGAAGAAUUUUAAGAACGAGAACAGAAAAAAAAGCCUGGUAAAAGUUGUAACUGGCUCUGCCUGUCUGUGCUGUGACAGCCAACAAUAUCACCUGCUGAUGAUUUACAGAUUCCUAGGAGAUGUGUUGUUGAGUCUCAAAGAACUGGAACAAGAACAACUCACUCAAAUUGCUUCCCGUGAAACAGCAUAAUGUAUCCACCCGCUUCAUGCUCUCCUAAUUUAGGACAUGUGUAGUGUGUAAUGAUGAACUGGCCAACUGAUUAUGUUGCUGUAAAUCUCGUUCCCCACCUUACAAAACACCCCUGAUUGACCCCUUUUUCAUGAUAGCUCAGUGCAAAAUUUCCAGUCCACUUCUUGAGAGGGAGAAAAUUCACACCAGCCACUUGCAAAAGCAUUUCUCCAGAGAGAAAAAUGCAACAUUUUGUUGUUUUUAUUUCAUUGGGCAGCCUUUUCAAGUUCUGUGGCCCUCUUUUGCUUCCCUUUAAAUUGUGACCAGUAUUUAUUUAUCCCUCUUUGAACACAAUAACUUAAUUAAGAAACUAAUCAGCAGUGUUGAACUGAUCUUUCAACUCACCCCUAUCACUGAAGGAAAUUUAUGAAUGCAUAGUACAAGAAAGAUCCUAUUAUCUAAAAAGCUUUCUACUAAAAGCAUUUGGCAUCUAAAAUGUAAGACUUGAAAUUCUGCACUAAAUUUAUAAUGUAAAUAUGUGAACAUUAUUUAUAGAGUCUGAAAUGUACCCCAACUGCAUCUAACAAGUUCAUUCUGGAUUAUUUAUUAAAAAUGAAAUUGUUUCAAGUUUAAAGGAUUGAAUGGUGUAUUUUGGAAUCUGAAGGGAAGAUUGUAAAGGUACCUGUGUAAGAGAGAGAAGUUUGAUGCUUUAGGUUGCCUCUUCCAUCAGUGGAGAGAGGUUGGCAUGUUCCAUUUUCUUAGAAACUUAUCUUUGGAUGGAAAUUUAUUGGCUGAUCAUCUCAGCAGGGCAUUAACAGGAUCUCUGUAGUUAGUCAUCAUCAUCAUCUGUUAUUCCCAGUUCCCUUGGCUUCAGCCUGAGAGAAUAAUUCUGAACGCUACCUGGGAUGGAGGCACCUGGGGCAGAAAGUGACCAGAUCCCAAAAGGAGAGAUCCCUCUGUGCACUCUUGCUCAGCCCUGGGAACUGAGCUGCUGCUGGCCAUCUAACAGGACAGAUUCAAUAGAACUUUCUCCUCUCCACCAGCUGAGUGCUGAGUAAAUGUCAGCACUAGAGGACCUAGUUGAUAAGUCGGAAAAUGCCUCCUGGGGUAGGAUGGCUCCAAGAUGUUUGGCCAAAUGUAGCCAAAACAUUUAUAUUUCUAGACACAGUCUGCAGAAGAAUUAAAGGUGCCUCAGUAACUGCUCUGGAGGAGAACUGAGUGGUUAGAGGAGGGACAGAAGAUCCUUUGCUAUCAGGCCUCUCCACCUAUCCAAGUGGCACUGCGAGCACCUAACUGCAGGUUUAGAUCUAGUCCUUUGUCCUCCAAGGACUUGAACAGACAGGUGGAGAUAACAAUUAGUUCUAUGCAAAAUCAGGCCUAGAAUUAGGGUCUGGUAGCUGGAAUUAAUGAGAUGCCUGGUUUUCUAUGGCUUUGGAUCGUGUCACUGGAUUAACCUGUGUCUAAGAACGUAUGAGCUCUGUUCCAAGGUUUGACUGCAACUGGGAAAAUCCUCAAAGUGCCUGCCUUUGGUGAUUCUCUGGUGACUAAAAAUAUGGUGAAAGAGUUCUUAGAGGUCUCUUUUGUUAAAAGAACUACAAUUUUAUUCCUCCCUUCUUACUUUCACACAAUUUGUGGAAUUUCAUCUUUUACCUUCUUGUCCUGCAGUAGCUGGCUUGAAAUUUGCCAACAGGCUCAAAAGGCUGUGGUGAGGGAGAGAAGUUAGAAACAUACAGGCUGGCAUGUAGUGCUUUCCUGAGAAAAGUAAACUUAAAAGGACAUAGUGUCUGUCCUAUGAAGCUUACUGUAUCCCUAAAGGAUGGGCUAAAGACAAGAGAAUGGACUGAAGGAGGUAUGACAUAUUAAGGACUCAUGUUGGAAAUUCUUUUAGCAACUGGAGGAGCCCCCCAGUUCAGUUUGCCACUGCCUAGCUGCUGGGGUCUAUUGAGCUUCCAGAAAGGUAUGAUGCAGGAAUUAAUGUUCUCACACUUCCUGUUGCCCCAUUUGCUUGGUCAUGGCUUAUAUACUCCACAUGAGAUCUGUAGGAGAAAGAGAUAUGAAAAGAGAGGACUGCCAUUUUUUCCAGGAAGAGCAGAUUGCAAGACUGUGGCAUUUUUCCCACACAUCUUGAAUAGUUUUAUACUUGGGCUUUUUGAGGAGUUUUUAAUUAAUUUAUUGUUUAAAUAACUCUAAUGAGUAGAGCCCCUGCCACACUGAUUCUAAUGAGGAUUGCAUGUGCUCUGUGUCUUUCUCAUUGUGGCCUAUGUAAUUUAAAUAUCUUAGCCAACAUGUGCUGUGGCAGAUUUCACUUAUAUCUGCUUAAAUUAAAGCUUGUCAGUUUAGGAGCUAAGAAGCAUGCAAAUAUUUGAGAGAUAUUUGACAUUCACUGCUGAAAUCAUCACACUAAAUAUCUGGCAUCAGUGACAUUACUUGAGAAGGGUUAGAAAUUCUUGCUGUGUUGUACAGGCUGGACAUUCUGGACUUAAUGAAGAAAAAUGUACUUAUCCUUAUGUGUUCAAAAUUAAGGUCUCCACCAAAAUUUCAGCUUGUUUUUCUUCUGUAUUUUCUCUGAGCAAUAUGUGACUGUUUGAGUAGCUCAAAGUUGCUGCUAGGAGAACAAACAGUACCAAUAUCUCAGAAGUAGUUGGAGUAAUAGCACAAUAUAGCUGUAAAAGGAAUGGCAUUUCCUUAUGUUCUCAUCCCCUAGAAAUGCAAAGGAAGAUGGCGCUGAGCUGGAAGAGUCUGAUGGAACCUUGGAUGUUUGAACAGUUCCAGGAGAUGAAGAUUAAUUUCCUGUGCAUGUGUAUUUUUUCCUAUUAUGGGUCACUAUAUCAAAACACCAUACUAUAUGUAGUACGUACAGCAUGCAAACUUUCUGUGCUGAAAAGUACUGGCUUGUUGACACACUGAAGUCAAAAUUGGAUAUUAAAAUGGAAGUAUUAAACAUCUAGGUGU